GAUGAACGCUGGCGGCGUGCCUAAUACAUGCAAGUCGAGCGAACAGACGAGGAGCUUGCUCCUCUGACGUUAGCGGCGGACGGGUGAGUAACACGUGGAUAACCUACCUAUAAGACUGGGAUAACUUCGGGAAACCGGAGCUAAUACCGGAUAAUAUAUUGAACCGCAUGGUUCAAUAGUGAAAGACGGUUUUGCUGUCACUUAUAGAUGGAUCCGCGCCGCAUUAGCUAGUUGGUAAGGUAACGGCUUACCAAGGCAACGAUGCGUAGCCGACCUGAGAGGGUGAUCGGCCACACUGGAACUGAGACACGGUCCAGACUCCUACGGGAGGCAGCAGUAGGGAAUCUUCCGCAAUGGGCGAAAGCCUGACGGAGCAACGCCGCGUGAGUGAUGAAGGUCUUCGGAUAGUAAAACUCUGUUAUUAGGGAAGAACAAAUGUGUAAGUAACUAUGCACGUCUUGACGGUACCUAAUCAGAAAGCCACGGCUAACUACGUG
This 497-nucleotide ribosomal RNA is filed under the name uncultured bacterium. Its description in RNAcentral is "partial 16S ribosomal RNA". It matches the Rfam family "Bacterial small subunit ribosomal RNA", at positions 28 to 507 of the family's 1533-position model. The record is from RNAcentral.